GUUUGGGAAUGCAGCUCUAAGUGGGUGGUAAACUCCAUCUAAAGCUAAAUAUUGGCGAGAGACCGAUAGCGAACAAGUACAGUGAUGGAAAGAUGAAAAGAACUUUGAAAAGAGAGUGAAAAAGUACGUGAAAUUGUUGAAAGGGAAGGUUAUUAGAUCAGACUUGGCGGCGCGCCAUACCUGUCCUCUUGUAGGGCGGACACUGGCGCGUGUUUGCUGGGCCAGCAUCGAUUCGGGCGGCGGGACAUGGUCCUGUGGGAUGUGGCUGUUUUAACACAGUGUUAUAACCACGGGUCUCUGCCGCCUGCCUGGAUCGAGGACUGCGUCUGUUUACAGACUAGGAUGCUGGCGUAAURAUCUAAUAUCGCCCGUCUUGAAACACGGACCAAGGAGUCUAACGUCUAUGCGAGUGUUUGGGUGUAAAACCCGUACGCGUAAUGAAAGUGAACGUAGAUUGGAGCUGCCCCCCCCUGGGGGCAGUGCACAAUCGACCGAUCCGGAAGAAUUUCUGAAGGAUUUGAGUAAGAGCAUAGCUGUUGGGACCCGAAAGAUGGUGAACUAUGCCUGAAUAGGGUGAAGCCAGAGGAAACUCUGGUGGAGGCUCGUAGCGGUUCUGACGUGCAAAUCGAUCGUCGAAUUUGGGUUUAGGGCGAAAGACUAAUC
Molecule: ribosomal RNA, 663 nt
Filed under: Komagataea norvegica
Lineage: Eukaryota; Fungi; Ascomycota; Saccharomycetes; Phaffomycetales; Wickerhamomycetaceae
Description: eukaryotic LSU rRNA
Rfam family: Eukaryotic large subunit ribosomal RNA
Source: RNAcentral